Molecule: ribosomal RNA, 481 nt
Filed under: uncultured bacterium
Lineage: Bacteria
Description: partial 16S ribosomal RNA
Rfam family: Bacterial small subunit ribosomal RNA
Source: RNAcentral
GAUGAACGCUGGCGGCGUGCCUAACACAUGCAAGUCGAGCGAAGCGCUUAAAUUAGAUUUCUUCGGAAUGACGAUUUUUGUGACUGAGCGGCGGACGGGUGAGUAACGCGUGGGUAACCUGCCUCAUACAGGGGGAUAACAGUUAGAAAUGACUGCUAAUACCGCAUAAGACCCCAGCUUCGCAUGAAGCGGUGGUAAAAACUCCGGUGGUAUGAGAUGGACCCGCGUCUGAUUAGCUAGUUGGUAAGGUAACGGCUUACCAAGGCGACGAUCAGUAGCCGACCUGAGAGGGUGACCGGCCACAUUGGGACUGAGACACGGCCCAGACUCCUACGGGAGGCAGCAGUGGGGAAUAUUGCACAAUGGGGGAAACCCUGAUGCAGCGACGCCGCGUGAAGGAUGAAGUAUUUCGGUAUGUAAACUUCUAUCAACAGGGAAGAAAGUGACGGUACCUGACGAAGAAGCCCCGGCUAACUACGUG